This 587-nucleotide ribosomal RNA is filed under the name uncultured Dechloromonas sp. Its description in RNAcentral is "bacterial SSU rRNA". It matches the Rfam family "Bacterial small subunit ribosomal RNA", at positions 334 to 916 of the family's 1533-position model. The record is from RNAcentral. Lineage: Bacteria; Pseudomonadati; Pseudomonadota; Betaproteobacteria; Rhodocyclales; Azonexaceae.
UACUCCUACGGGAGGCAGCAGUGGGGAAUUUUGGACAAUGGGCGCAAGCCUGAUCCAGCCAUGCCGCGUGAGUGAAGAAGGCCUUCGGGUUGUAAAGCUCUUUCAGCCGGGAAGAAAACGCAUGGGUUAAUACCCUGUGUGGAUGACGGUACCGGAAUAAGAAGCACCGGCUAACUACGUGCCAGCAGCCGCGGUAAUACGUAGGGUGCAGCGUUAAUCGGAAUUACUGGGCGUAAGCGUGCGCAGGCGGUUUUGUAAGACAGGCGUGAAAUCCCCGGGCUCAACCUGGGAACUGCGUUGUGACUGCAAGGCUAGAGUAUGGCAGAGGGGGGUGGAAUUCCACGUGUAGCAGUGAAAUGCGUAGAGAUGUGGAGGAACACCGAUGGCGAAGGCAGCCCCCUGGGCCAAUACUGACGCUCAUGCACGAAAGCGUGGGUAGCAAACAGGAUUAGAUACCCUGGUAGUCCACGCCCUAACGAUGUCAACUAGGUGUUGGGUGGGUAAAACCAUUUAGUACCGGAGCUAACGCGUGAAGUUGACCGCCUGGGGAGUACGGCCGCAAGGUUAAAACUCAAAUGAAUUGACGG